Molecule: ribosomal RNA, 253 nt
Filed under: uncultured bacterium
Lineage: Bacteria
Description: partial 16S ribosomal RNA
Rfam family: Bacterial small subunit ribosomal RNA
Source: RNAcentral
UACGUAGGGAGCAAGCGUUGUCCGGAAUCAUUGGGCGUAAAGAGCGCGUAGGCGGCCGUGUAAGUCCGCUCUGAAAGUCGGAGGCUCAACCUCCGAAAGCGGGUGGAUACUGCACGGCUAGAGUCCGGAAGAGGCGAGUGGAAUUCCUGGUGUAGCGGUGGAAUGCGCAGAUAUCAGGAGGAACACCAACGGCGAAGGCAGCUCGCUGGGACGGUACUGACGCAGAGGCGCGAAAGCGUGGGGAGCAAACAGG